GCGGCAGACGGAGUCUCGUAGAUGGGAACAGAGCUCCAGCAGCAAUAGGUAUUCCAAUAAUGUUGUAUCCAAGAGCCCAUACAUAAUUCAUUCGGAUUCGGGAGAAAGUCUUUCUCGAGAGGUCGAUCGCCGUUAUCACGUCCUCUAGAUUACUCUUCAUGAGGACAAUGUCAGCUGCAAGAAAGAUCUAAUAUACUUUGUGCAAUUCUCAUAACUAUAAAAUUAUUAAAUUAAGUAGCUUAAAUUUUUAAAGUCAAAUUAAGUAUCGCCAACUGGCUCAAAUUAAAUAAAUUAAAAGGUUGGUUAGUAAAAUCAACAUUUGAAAAGUUCGAUAGCCAACUAAAAAUAGUCCAUUAUAUAUUCAGAUAAAUUUUGUAUAUUUUGAUCAAAUAUAUAUCUAUAAUGCUGGGGUUCAUUUAGAAUAUUUAAUUGUUGUUACACUAACAAACAAUAGCAUAUGAGACAUGCUUAUCUGCUCAUUUCCGUGCAUCAUCUACAGGGAGCGAGAGAGUAAACUAAGGGCUAGCUCGUUUAGUAUUAAGACCUAUCUAAUAAUAAUAACGAAAAUAGAGUUGGAGUGACAUUGAUCAUAUUGAAGUAUACUUCUACGUUUUUUAUUGACACCGCAGAAAAUAUAUAUAUCGUAAUCAUUUAAUUACGAUAUACAAAAUAGUGAAAUUACGUAACGCAAUCUCCCCAUAAUUUCAAAUAUAGCCUAAGCGACGGACGGGGUGCAGCAGUGGACUAGGUUCCGUGGAAAUUAACCUCAUAGUGACCUCACGUGAUGUUUAGUUUAAUUAUUGUUUUGUUCAAAUGGAGUUUAAAAUUUGAAUGAUGAGGAAAAUGUCAAAGGAUUUUAGUCAGCGCGUUGCAAGUGGCGGGCUCACAAAAAAUAUCCGUGGGCUCGUCGUCCUUCUUUAAUGGGCCCUUUGAAUUUUGGCAUGGAAGGAUUUGGAUCUCAAUAUAACACGGCAUUUAUUAAUUCACGAGCAACAAAAAGAGAAAAAAAAAAGAAAAAGAAAAAGAAGGGGACGUUAUAUAGACUUUUUGUUCGUAGGACUAGUCCCUUUGCAGAGGACUUUUGGUCCUGUGAAUCAGGCGCCGUUAAUCGUGCACCAUAGACUGAAAUCGAUGGUGCGAUCUGCGUCGACACAAGUGCAUGCACAUAUAGAUAUCUUGGAUAACAAUGGAGCAACUGAGAAAUGCAGCAAGAUAUUUAUGUUUAUCAAGCCAAAUGGUAUUUACAGUGUUCUGCUUAUUUUUAUUCAAUCAUGCACAGAAACUAAGCCACCACUCGCACCUCUUUUUCAAGUUUUUGAUAACAAAAGGAAAGGAAAGCACACUCAACAUUUUUUUUGUCCCCUGAACAACUUUACCUUAUUCUUACUAUAUUGCAUGUUCACAUCUAUUUAGUUGAUUAUAAUUUGUUCCAUCCGAAGGCGAUCUAGCUCCUUGGGCCUUCUGUAGUACUUCAGCAAGAGAGACCAACACACAACACUUACUGACGAGGCUGCCAUCGCAGCACCGGCGACCCACGGCGGCAGACGGACUCUGGUAGACGGGAACAGAGCUCCAGCAGCAACAGGCAUUCCAAUAAUGUUGUAUCCAAGAGCCCAUACAUAGUUCAUUCGGAUUCGGGAGAAAGUCUUUCUCGAGAGGUCGAUCGCCGUUAUCACGUCCUCCAGAUUACUCUUCAUGAGGACAAUGUCAGCUGCUUCUAUGGCGAUAUCGGUGCCUGCACCUAUCGCGAUUCCAACAUCGGCAGAUACGAGCGCAGGUGAG
RNAcentral lists this long non-coding RNA (1782 nucleotides) under Ananas comosus (pineapple). Its description in RNAcentral is "long non-coding RNA (ACOM_LNC014182)". The record is from RNAcentral. Lineage: Eukaryota; Viridiplantae; Streptophyta; Magnoliopsida; Poales; Bromeliaceae.